This 447-nucleotide ribosomal RNA is filed under the name uncultured bacterium. RNAcentral describes it as "bacterial SSU rRNA". It matches the Rfam family "Bacterial small subunit ribosomal RNA", at positions 331 to 793 of the family's 1533-position model. The record is from RNAcentral.
CCAGACUCCUACGGGAGGCAGCAGUGGGGAAUAUUGCACAAUGGGCGAAGGCCUGAUGCAGCGACGCCGCGUGAGUGAAGAAGUAUUUCGGUAUGUAAAGCUCUAUCAGCAGGGAAGAAAAUGACGGUACCUGACUAGGAAGCCCCGGCUAACUACGUGCCAGCAGCCGCGGUAAUACGUAGGGGGCAAGCGUUAUCCGGAUUUACUGGGUGUAAAGGGUGCGUAGACGGAGAAGCAAGUUAGUUGUGAAAUCCCUCGGCUUAACUGAGGAACUGCAACUAAAACUACUUCCCUUGAGUACUGGAGAGGAAAGUGGAAUUCCUAGUGUAGCGGUGAAAUGCGUAGAUAUUAGGAGGAACACCAGUGGCGAAGGCGACUUUCUGGACAGUAACUGACGUUGAGGCACGAAAGUGUGGGGAGCAAACAGGAUUAGAUACCCGCGUAUCG